GAAGAAAAAGUUUUUUUUUUUUAAAGACUUCACGUGAAUUCCGGUCAGAAAGAUGCAUAUGAGGAAGCUCGACUAAAACAUCCACAUGCAACUUUGAUUUCUGACUGGUAGACAGAUGAGGAUGAUGAUCGCCUGUCAUACAUCUAAAGACAGAACAGGGACAGUAUAGACGCAUCUAUACCAUGAUGAA
This is a non-coding RNA of Danio rerio (zebrafish), 190 nucleotides long. NCBI's taxonomy places the organism in Eukaryota, Metazoa, Chordata, Actinopteri, Cypriniformes, Danionidae. The record is from RefSeq and is a predicted model, not a curated record.